RNAcentral lists this ribosomal RNA (410 nucleotides) under uncultured microorganism. RNAcentral describes it as "bacterial SSU rRNA". It matches the Rfam family "Bacterial small subunit ribosomal RNA", at positions 509 to 917 of the family's 1533-position model. The record is from RNAcentral.
CAGCAGCCGCGGUAAUACGUAGGGUGCGAGCGUUAAUCGGAUUUACUGGGCGUAAAGCGUGCGCAGGCGGCCCGUUAAGACAGGUGUGAAAUCCCUGGGCUCAACCUAGGAAUUGCGCUUGUGACUGGCGGGCUCGAGUACGGUAGAGGGGGGUGGAAUUCCUGGUGUAGCAGUGAAAUGCGUAGAGAUCAGGAGGAACACCGAUGGCGAAGGCAGCCCCCUGGGCCUGUACUGACGCUCAUGCACGAAAGCGUGGGGAGCAAAAAGGAUUAGAUACCCUGGUAGUCCACGCCCUAAACGAUGGGUACUAGCCGUUUGGUGCGCGAUAGCGCUGAGUGGCGAAGCUAACGCGAGAAGUACCCCGCCUGGGGAGUACGGCCGCAAGGUUGAAACUUAAAGGAAUUGGCGGG